GAUGAAGAACGUAGCGAAAUGCGAUAAGUAAUGUGAAUUGCAGAAUUCAGUGAAUCAUCGAAUCUUUGAACGCACCUUGCGCUCCUUGGUAUUCCAAGGAGCAUGCCUGUUUGAGUAUCAUUAAAUUAUCAACUGUGCCAAUUUGGUUACAGAUUGGAUGUGGGAGAUUCUUUUUGCAGGCCUUUGACUUCUCUUUGAGAAAAAAAAUGAAAGGUCGGCUCUCCUGAAAUGUAUUAGCAGUGCCUUUGUUGGUUCAUUAGGUGUGAUAAAUUGUCUACAUCUUCGCAUGAUACCUUCAUUUGUAAAGGUCAUAUUGCUUCUAAAUUGUCUUUGAUUGGACGCAAAACAUAUAUAAUGUUUGACAAACUUGAUCUCAAAUCAGGCAGGACUACCCGCUGAACUUAAGCAUAUCAAUAAGCGGAGGA
Molecule: unclassified non-coding RNA, 425 nt
Filed under: soil metagenome
Description: partial contains 5.8S ribosomal RNA, internal transcribed spacer 2, and large subunit ribosomal RNA
Rfam family: 5.8S ribosomal RNA (bases 1-120)
Source: RNAcentral